UACGUAGGUGGCAAGCGUUGUCCGGAUUUAUUGGGUUUAAAGGGUGCGUAGGCGGCCCCGUAAGUCAGUGGUGAAAUCUCUCAGCUUAACUGAGAGGGUGCCAUUGAUACUGCGGGGCUUGAGUACAGAUGAGGUAGGCGGAAUUGACGGUGUAGCGGUGAAAUGCAUAGAUAUCGUCAAGAACACCGAUAGCGGAGGCAGCUUACCAAGCUGUAACUGACGCUGAGGCACGAAAGUGUGGGGAUCAAACAGG
RNAcentral lists this ribosomal RNA (253 nucleotides) under uncultured bacterium. Its description in RNAcentral is "partial 16S ribosomal RNA". It matches the Rfam family "Bacterial small subunit ribosomal RNA", at positions 524 to 776 of the family's 1533-position model. The record is from RNAcentral.